This 301-nucleotide ribosomal RNA is filed under the name uncultured bacterium. RNAcentral's name for it is "partial 16S ribosomal RNA". It matches the Rfam family "Bacterial small subunit ribosomal RNA", at positions 509 to 807 of the family's 1533-position model. The record is from RNAcentral.
CAGUCGCCACGGUAAUACAGAGGGUGCGAGCGUUAAUCGGAUUUACUGGGCGUAAAGCGUGCGUAGGCGGCUAAUUGAGUCGGAUGUGAAAUCCCUGAGCUUAACUUAGGAAUUGCAUUCGAUACUGGGAAGCUAGAGUAUGGGAGAGGAUGGUAGAAUUCCAGGUGUAGCGGUGAAAUGCGUAGAGAUCUGGAGGAAUACCGAUGGCGAAGGCAGCCAUCUGGCCUAAUACUGGCGCUGAGGUACGAAAGCAUGGGGAGCAAACAGGAUUAGAUACCCCAGUAGUCCCUGUCUCUUAUAC